AUUUCUAACAGGCAAGCAAAAGAAGCGCCAAUUUCAUUUGGUUUCAUCAUCGGACAUUUGUUUUGUUUCAACCUCAUUUGUCAGCAAAGAUAACAUCUUUCAGUCAACUUUUUAGUCAUUUUGCUUUUAUUCAUGAAUGUUGUUUCUUUUAAUGCCUUUUUGCUUUCUUUGGGUAAUUCAAAUUUUAAAUAAGUCUGAGUUCAAGAGAAGGAUUUAAGCCUAAUCAUUGGAUCAAACAGAACUCAUUGUUGGUGCAUUUUUAUCUUGAUUUUUGUUUUUGCAGUUUUCUUUGGUUUUUCUUCAAACACUCCUCACUCCAAACACAAUGAUGACAAUGCAUUCGGAUUACUCCAUUGAUUAGAAUGAUUGAUAGGAAAUUGACACUUGUCUUGGAUUCCUCUGGCAAAUAUUCAUCAAAAUAAGACAAGUGAACGUUCCCAUUGAGUAAGCUGAUAUCUUGGUGGUGAUACAUGAAGGACAGUUCAAUAUUAUCGAUUCCUAAAUGUCUACAUUGGUUCCCCGAAAAUCAUUGAGCCUUUGAUGUUUAUAUUUCUUUAAAUGAAUCUUAUUUUUAUUUUUCUCACUUUCACUUGCUUUUAUCUUAUCAUUCUUGAGCGACGUCUCAUUCACCAAAAUGAUUUGGCUGAAUAGUGCUGAGGACAUCUCUGGACUGACCAAUAUCAACCCAAUGAAUUGUAACCUUGAUCAUGGCGUCUCCAGUUAGAUUAUUUGAUGUUUGCUGGACAAAGUCAAGCUGAACCCAAAAUACAUCUCCAGAGGCUCUUUAAAAGAAGGACUGAAAAGAUGAAUCAAGGAAACGAAUGAUGAUAAAGAGGAAGAUAAUGAAGAUGAUUAUUAUGAUAUGUGUACAAGAACGUUGAAACAAGGAGUAAAAGCAAAUAAUUUUAGUGUUACUUUUAUAUUUUCUUGCUCUUUAAAUGGUUUCAACAAAGUGACAAAAUGGAUAAAAGGAUAUUGAUAUCAAUUUAAGGAAGAUGAUCCCUUUUCAAAUGAUCAUAAUAGUGUGUCAUAAAUAUCGAUUGAAAUUUACUGUUUCAAAAGAUUCUCAUGUUGUUACUAUUUUACUUUCAUCUCUUCCUUUCCAUCUUCACAGAACAGAGUAAAAUCAAUCCAAUUGAUUACCAAUGUGAGGUUUUCCUUUCUUCUUCUUCUUCUUCUUCUUCUUCCCAUCUACUCAUCUCAUUUCAUCUCAUUUUAGUUUACUUUUUUUCUUCUUUGUUUUCUUCUAAUACAAUUUAAAGAAUUGAGUUUAAAAAGAAAUUCAUAUAAUAAUUGAAAUGAAACUAAGUUUUACCUCAAUUGAAUGGUAUUAAUUCAGAAGCUUUAACCAUUUCCCAUCUUCCAUCUUCCCUUUCUCUAUCUAAGCUUUCAAUUCAGAACUUUGCUUUCAAGUUUCCUAAACUCAUUCUCUAUCAUAAUUAUAAUCAUCAUCACCAACAUAAAGCCGAUUCUUUAUCAAGUUGGAAAUUGCCAUUAUCGAUUCAUUCUCGAUACAAUUGUUACUUUAAAGGCUGACUGGCAGAAUAUCAUAUUCAAUUUGACUAAUUGGUUUGGCCAUUCAUACAACUAUAUAAUUAAUACAAGUACCUCUCAUCCUAUUGGGAAUCAUCAAGAUAAUAACUUUUCACCUCGAAUCAACCAUCAGUGGCCUUUAUUAAUGGACAUAAUAGCAACUCAUUGUUUCGCCAAUUUUUCAAACCCAAAAAUAUCUUCAAUGGUGGCUUCAUCUUAUCAAGUUACAAUGGACCGAGCAGCUUCAAUAGCUUUUUACAAAGAGAUCGCUUCAAGCUUAUUGAUGGACACAAAAGGCUAUUUUAACUAAUGACCAUCAAAUUUAACCUUCAUGGAUUGUCGCAAUUAAAUAUAGCAAAUAUCCAAUACAAUGUAAUUGCUAUGGAAACUCUUGUCAGGUGAAAAGCUGCCAAUAUCAACAUGAUUGUUGAUAUUAUUAAUGCAUCACCAUCAUGCAAUCAACAUUUGUUUUUGUCAGUUUUCAAUUGCUAUUCAAUCGUAUUAAUUGUAAAAACAUUUCCAAGUCCAAUGUCGAUGUUAGCAAAUGUAACUAAUGUCAAUAUUUAUUGGCAUUGAUUCCCAUUUCCAAUGAUAUUAAUAGUUAAAUGUUGCGCAUUAAUUUUCAUUGAACCAACAUGAAGAAAUCCAUUGAAUUAUCAUUAUUUAAUGUAACCCUUUUUAUACACCAGACAACAACAAGCCUUACAUUAACAUUUGAAAUUGUUGUUAAAUGACAUUUUUGUCUCACCAUUGGAUUACAAUCUGUAACUUCAUCGAUAACCUGAUUGAUUAAACAUUUAUUUUGAUUGUAACAUUCA
This is a long non-coding RNA of Tetranychus urticae (two-spotted spider mite), 2351 nucleotides long. RefSeq lists it as uncharacterized. The record is from RefSeq and is a predicted model, not a curated record. NCBI's taxonomy places the organism in Eukaryota, Metazoa, Arthropoda, Arachnida, Trombidiformes, Tetranychidae.